Molecule: ribosomal RNA, 148 nt
Filed under: Lactifluus leoninus
Lineage: Eukaryota; Fungi; Basidiomycota; Agaricomycetes; Russulales; Russulaceae
Description: 5.8S ribosomal RNA
Rfam family: 5.8S ribosomal RNA
About the family: 5.8S ribosomal RNA (5.8S rRNA) is a component of the large subunit of the eukaryotic ribosome. It is transcribed by RNA polymerase I as part of the 45S precursor that also contains 18S and 28S rRNA. Functionally, it is thought that 5.8S rRNA may be involved in ribosome translocation.
Source: RNAcentral
CAACUUUCAACAACGGAUCUCUUGGCUCUCGSAUCGAUKAAGAACGCAGYGAAAUGCGAUACGUAGUGUGAAUUGCAGAAKUCAGUGAAUCAUCGAAUCUUUGAACGCACCUUGCGCCCCUUGGYAUUCUGAGGGGCACACCCGUUUG